This 448-nucleotide ribosomal RNA is filed under the name uncultured bacterium. RNAcentral describes it as "partial 16S ribosomal RNA". It matches the Rfam family "Bacterial small subunit ribosomal RNA", at positions 330 to 794 of the family's 1533-position model. The record is from RNAcentral.
UCCAGACUCCUACGGGAGGCAGCAGUGGGGGAUAUUGCACAAUGGGGGGAACCCUGAUGCAGCGACGCCGCGUGGGUGAAGGAGCGUUUCGGCGCGUAAAGCCCUAUCGGCAGGGAAGAAGGAGGACGGUACCUGACUAAGAAGCCCCGGCUAACUACGUGCCAGCGGCCGCGGUAAUACGUAGGGGGCAAGCGUUAUCCGGAUUUACUGGGUGUAAAGGGGGCGCAGACGGCAGCGCAAGCCAGGAGUGAAAGCCCGGGGCCCAACCCCGGGACUGCUCUUGGAACUGCGCGGCUGGAGUGCAGGAGGGGCAGGCGGAAUUCCUGGUGUAGCGGUGAAAUGCGUAGAUAUCAGGAGGAACACCGGUGGCGAAGGCGGCCUGCUGGACUGCGACUGACGUUGAGGCCCGAAAGCGUGGGGAGCAAACAGGAUUAGAUACCCCAGUAGA